RNAcentral lists this ribosomal RNA (215 nucleotides) under uncultured bacterium. RNAcentral's name for it is "partial 16S ribosomal RNA". It matches the Rfam family "Bacterial small subunit ribosomal RNA", at positions 1279 to 1500 of the family's 1533-position model. The record is from RNAcentral.
AAGUCAUCCCCAGUUCGGACUGGGGUCUGCAACCCGACCCCACGAAGCUGGAUUCGCUAGUAAUCGCGCAUCAGCCAUGGCGCGGUGAAUACGUUCCCGGGCCUUGUACACACCGCCCGUCAAGCCACGAAANCCGGGGGGCGCCUGAAGUUCGUGACCGCAAGGAGCGACCUAGGGCAAAACUGGUGACUGGGGCUAAGUCGUAACAAGGUAGC